UCCAGACUCCUACGGGAGGCAGCAGUGGGGAAUAUUGGGCAAUGGGCGCAAGCCUGACCCAGCAACGCCGCGUGAAGGAAGAAGGCUUUCGGGUUGUAAACUUCUUUUAUUGAGGACGAAACAAAUGACGGUACUCAAUGAAUAAGCCACGGCUAACUACGUGCCAGCAGCCGCGGUAAUACGUAGGUGGCAAGCGUUGUCCGGAUUUACUGGGUGUAAAGGGCGUGUAGCCGGGCUGACAAGUCAGAUGUGAAAUUCCGGGGCUCAACCCCGGACCUGCAUUUGAAACUGUUGGUCUUGAGUAUCGGAGAGGCAGGCGGAAUUCCUAGUGUAGCGGUGAAAUGCGUAGAUAUUAGGAGGAACACCAGUGGCGAAGGCGGCCUGCUGGACGACAACUGACGGUGAGGCGCGAAAGCGUGGGGAGCAAACAGGAUUAGAUACCCGAGUAC
This 449-nucleotide ribosomal RNA is filed under the name uncultured bacterium. RNAcentral's name for it is "bacterial SSU rRNA". It matches the Rfam family "Bacterial small subunit ribosomal RNA", at positions 330 to 793 of the family's 1533-position model. The record is from RNAcentral.